UUUUAUGAGAGUUUGAUCCUGGCUCAGGACGAACGCUGGCGGCGUGCCUAAUACAUGCAAGUCGAACGCUUCUUUUUCCACCGGAGCUUGCUCCACCGGAAAAAGAGGAGUGGCGAACGGGUGAGUAACACGUGGGUAACCUGCCCAUCAGAAGGGGAUAACACUUGGAAACAGGUGCUAAUACCGUAUAACAAUCGAAACCGCAUGGUUUUGAUUUGAAAGGCGCUUUCGGGUGUCGCUGAUGGAUGGACCCGCGGUGCAUUAGCUAGUUGGUGAGGUAACGGCUCACCAAGGCCACGAUG
This 302-nucleotide ribosomal RNA is filed under the name Enterococcus faecium. RNAcentral describes it as "partial 16S ribosomal RNA". It matches the Rfam family "Bacterial small subunit ribosomal RNA", at positions 1 to 281 of the family's 1533-position model. The record is from RNAcentral. Lineage: Bacteria; Bacillati; Bacillota; Bacilli; Lactobacillales; Enterococcaceae.